Molecule: unclassified non-coding RNA, 4558 nt
Filed under: Hevea brasiliensis (rubber tree)
Lineage: Eukaryota; Viridiplantae; Streptophyta; Magnoliopsida; Malpighiales; Euphorbiaceae
Source: RNAcentral
AAAAAUUUGACAAGCAAAGCUUGAGCUCUUCAAAUCUCGACUGGAUUUGUUUACGCUCAGUAAAGCUAUGAGAUGUUAGGAGUGGAUUACCAAUAGGUACUACCAUCUUCGGCCUUGAUUUUUUAAACACAUUUUCCUGCCGUGUAAGUGGCAGAUUCAUAGACAUUAAGAUCUGAAAAACAAAUAUGCUAAAACAUUGGAAAUGAGUUAUUUACAGCAUCACAUUAACUUUCAUACAUCAAUUAUUGCAGAGAGUCGAAUCUCCUUUGGAAAUUAAAUGGAAAAAUAUGGAAUUUUCUAUAACCAUGUUCAAUCCAUGAGUUUGUAUCUUUUCUCUUGGACACCUGUAACUCCCAUUUGUAUCUCUAUUAUAGUAUGAAGUGGCAUCUGAAACAAUACAACUCCGUCAGAGAGUAGCUAUUAAAAUAUGUAAUAAACGCUAAAAUUCCCAAUAAUCAUAUGAAGAUCCAUGUUUCACCAGAAACUUAAAUGGGCAUUGUUUCAUCUUCACUUAGCCAAGAAUAAUCAUGUUCUUGGUUUUUACUAAACAUGUGGAACAAUAAUCCAUAUGAGGUUAACAAUGAAUAAUUGUAACCCAUGUAACUUUUAACCCCUCAUAUAAUGUUAUUUGGAUUCUUAAAGAGACUAGGUUAACUUUUCACCUCAUUAAUAUUUAUAUUUUUUUGAGGGGUUAAAUAUUAACAUCGGGAGACCUAGGUUAAUAAUUACUAUCUUUGAAUGUUAAAAUUUACAAUAGUAAUAUUUAACCCUUAAUUUUUUAACCUUCUAUUAAACAUAUAGCUGUAGAAAUACCAUUACCCUCAGAGCUAGUUUUUAAUCAUUCAUGGCUUACCUCAAUAUGGGGAAUUUCUUUCAGAGGCCUAUCAGCGAAGUAUGCGUACAAAGCUCUUAAUACUGCCUGAUGAGAAAUCACUACGACAGGAGCUCGUUGCCUUUCAAGUUCAAUAAUCACAGGCUCUAGCCUUUGAAUGACAUCCAGAUAAGAUUCUCCUCGAGGAUACCGGUAUCUCAGCUUGUCCUUCUUACGAGACCUGCUUUUGGGGACAAAUCCAGCAAAUAAACAAUGUGAAAGCACAGAGGGAAAAAAAUGUAAAGCAAAUGCAAGCUUUCAUGUGAAAACAACCUGCACUAAUAGCUAUCAAAGAUUCCAAGUUUACUAGAUAGUUGAUAAUUAGUAACAAGGGGCAAAACAUAUUUUUAGAGAACACAAAACUUACUCAUACUCCUCAGGCAUGUUCUUUUUUAUUUCUUCAUAAGUCAUUCCAUCACAUACUCCAGCAUUUAUCUCAUCAAGGGCACGCCAUUGAAUCUUAGGAAAUCCAACGAUUGGACUAGCUGUGAGAAUGGUUCUCUGCAGUGUGCUAGUCCAAAUAGAGGCAGCCUUCUCAGAUUUCAGUCGUUUUUCAACGAAGUUGGCAAGUUUCUUCGCAUAAAUUUCUCCAGCAUCACUGAGGAAACAAAUUAUCAUAUUUUACAGUAACUUGAAGUAAUCUCAAAGAACAUAAAUCACAGAAAAAUUAGAAAGCAUCCAUAUUGGCCAUCAAAAUAAAGAGAAUAUAACAUUAUAAUGUGAAUAGACAUAUGACUGGGCUAACUUUUAUGUGCCAUUACAUUCAAUCCUUGUCCAGAGAUCUCAAGGUCUGGUCAUGGACUACCAAACACAGAGUUCAAGCCUUAUGAAUAGCUGCUUUAUGAAAAAUUGCUAGGUUAGAAAUGAAUCCAUAUCAAACACCCUUGGAACCUGACAUGGUGAGACAAACCUUCUUAAAUGGGCUGCUAACUUACUAUCCUCUUUCUCAGACUCAAGCAGAUAAGUGCCUUCAGAAAAAUAACUCAAACUUUAAAAACACAAAGGAGUUGCAUUUUAUAGAAGGCUAAGAAAAUAACACACAAACUGAUGUUAUAGGUCUUCAAUAAAUCACUGAUUUCUAGGAUUUUAUUAUUUUUCUAAUACACUUCUUGCUUGUAUGUUGCUGAUAUAAUAACAGUAAUUAUUUCGGCUAUUUAAGCCCCAUACUUAACCAUUUCAAUCACUAAGAAUUCUGUCCUGCACAACAUUGGCAACAAGUAUUUUUUUAAAAUACUUAUGUUCAGAAACUGAGAGGCCAAAAGCAAGAUGUUGGCCGUCAGUCCUGCAUUUUAGGUAGCAUGAAGGCUUUGGUAUUAUAUGCAUGUCUGUAGAGUGUCCCUUCAAGAAGAACUAGUAAAUAAAAUACAAUGAAAGGAGAAAACAAAAUGCUAAACAUAAUACUAGCAUAACCUAUACCAAAAUUAUACUUUCCAGAAGAACGCCUUGUUGUUGCGCUAAGGAGAUAGUGUUUGUUCAUCAUGCUUUGCUUAUUUUCUGAACAAUAAUUAUCACGGAAAUUUUUUGUGAAAUAAAAUUUAAUUAAGUAAAAACCAGCCCACAAAAUCAGUGCAGCCAGAUAUAACAGUAUGUGGGACAUCUGAAAUUAACAAUCAAAUUUACAUAUGCAUAAGUUUCAUUUCAUAGUAACACUAGCAAGUAGCAACUUCUAUAACUGUUUGAAUUUAUGUUAAAAAGAUUAUUAUUAUCUCGAAACCUAAUACCUCAAAACAGUGUCUCCACCAAUUCUGCCCCUAACAUUAUCCCGACUUUCUCCAUGCCUAGUAAGUAAUAUUGGGCGGGGUGUGAGAUGUGUAUUCACCUGCAACAGAUUAAUCAAGGUUCUUGGUGUGCAUCAAAGUCAAACAAACGAGCACAAAAGAUGAAGAGAUUAUAAUGAUACCAUUUAUCAUCCAUCAACGUCACCUCAUAUGCCCAGACUAUUCAAAUCUAUCCUAUAGAACAUGUACAGGCACCUUUAUAAAACCAUAAAUAUUCAUAGAUUGCUCUUCCAUAUUCAAGAAACUUGAAACAUAAUAUAGUUGAGAAACUGAAACUAUAAUCAGCACCAGUAAUCAUACUAAUAAUGUCAUAAAUUUUCAAAAAUUAAGAGAAGUGACUGAGAAUCCAUUUUUCUAACAUGCAAAGGAAAAGCCAAUACAGAUUCUUGACAAGACAACAUACCAAGAAAAAGACAAUUCGUCCAGGAAGGUAGCCGCUGAUAUUGUUUACUUGUAUUUGUCCACCAUGUCCACUGACCAUAUCGAUCAUUUUGAUAUAGGAUCCUUCUUCCACAGGCUCAUAAACCUAGCAACAGAAUUUUAAUCCACCAUUUGGAAUCAAGCAUCAAUAACACAUUAAGACAUAGGAAAUACUUUCUCAUAAUUGGCCAGUCGAUCCUUGAAAUCUUGAUAUCCAGCUUCAUAAUCUGGCCUGCAUAAUUACAGGAAGCAUAAAUACAGAAUACUUGAGGUCAAAAGUAAGCAGCUUCAGAUAUAACCAUACUGCUCAGCAUAGUCAGGGCUUUGUUGAAUUUUAAGACGUAUAUUUCUUUCAAUAAUGCGUUCAUCAUUGCAUAUUGUUUCCAAAAAAAUAAUCUGCAAUGAAAGAAUAAGUGAAUCAGAAGAGUUCAAUCCUACUCAUUACACUUUGGUUACAGUCCAAUAAAAUUUGGUUUCUUUGCACUUUAUUUCCUUAUACAUUAUAUGUUAACCACUGGUACUGAAAAUUAAGUGAUGAGAUACCAAUUUACAAAAAUUACUCUGCAAGUCUUCCUGUUAUUGAAGAGAUGGGAGGAAGAGAUGUUUGCAUGGAGGAGAUUUGAUAAGAAACAAAAAUAAAAUAAAAUCACAAAAGUGCAAAAUCAGGGAGAAACAAAUUAAAAAUACUAAUUCCAAAAGGAUAAGCUUCACCUAGACACCUAAUCACAUAGGUUCAUACUAAUUAAGUUUAGAGCUGCAUGCACAAAUAGUCCUAGUACCUUGCACUUUCCUUCAGCCAUUUUCAUCAGCAUAUUCCUCCUACUUCUGGUACUGUUUGUUGCAUCAAAUAUUCCUACCUGGCCACCUUCUUGCAUCCAGGUAGUCAUAUCAUCCAUUGCCAGUGCUGCUACCUAGUAGCAUUUGACAAAUUAAAACUAUGUACAAAGGAGAAUGUUAAUAUGGUGGGAUCAAAUCAUCUCAGAAAAAAUAAAUUCAGCAAUACAGCAUUUUUGACAACAGACAAGUCUGUCUUUAUGGGAUUAGAGAUCCUUUCUCUCCCUCUAUCAUUAACACACUUAAUAUUUCACUUAGAGUUUAUCUGAAUCAAAUGAUUUUUACAGUAAAAGCCAAAUCAUAAAUCCAAAUAUUUCAAUGGAUCAAUACUCAGAUUAAUUCACAUGUUUAAAUGAAAGACUGUAAGGUGAGCUAUUAUCAGAUUUUAUUCUUUAAAUGUCAAUAAAUAUUCUAUCAUCAUCCCAUAAAAGAAAAAUUAAUUCUAUCAUCAUCUCGACAGGGAAAACUGCUAUAGCUGAACCUAUAAAAUAUUAAAUGUUUACCCAGUCCAACCAAACACUUAAUUCAUGCUCAGAGAAAAAGUUAACUAAAACCCGUCCAACAUAUCACAAGGAUAAAAGAAAAAUAACCACAGGCUCAAGAGGAAACAAAGUCAUCAUAAUUGACUGAAACAAUAUUUAGUUGACGGAUAUUC